GAUGAACGCUGGCGGCGUGCCUAAUACAUGCCAGUCGAGCGAACGGACGGGAAGCUUGCUUCUCUGAUGUUAGCGGCGGACGGGUGAGUAACACGUGGAUAACCUACCUAUAAGACUGGGAUAACUUCGGGAAACCGGAGCUAAUACCGGAUGAUAUUUUGAACCGCAUGGUUCAAAAGUGAAAGACGGUCUUGCUGUCACUUAUAGAUGGAUCCGCGCUGCAUUAGCUAGUUGGUAAGGUAACGGCUUACCAAGGCAACGAUGCAUAGCCGACCUGAGAGGGUGAUCGGCCACACUGGAACUGAGACACGGUCCAGACUCCUACGGGAGGCAGCAGUAGGGAAUCUUCCGCAAUGGGCGAAAGCCUGACGGAGCAACGCCGCGUGAGUGAUGAAGGUCUUCGGAUCGUAAAACUCUGUUAUUAGGGAAGAACAUAUGUGUAAGUAACUGUGCACAUCUUGACGGUACCUAAUCAGAAAGCCACGGCUAACUACGUG
Molecule: ribosomal RNA, 497 nt
Filed under: uncultured bacterium
Lineage: Bacteria
Description: partial 16S ribosomal RNA
Rfam family: Bacterial small subunit ribosomal RNA
Source: RNAcentral